This is a non-coding RNA of Meleagris gallopavo (turkey), 3312 nucleotides long. The record is from RefSeq and is a predicted model, not a curated record. NCBI's taxonomy places the organism in Eukaryota, Metazoa, Chordata, Aves, Galliformes, Phasianidae.
CCAUCCUCAUCAGCCCGAGAGCUGUCACAGCCACAAGACUGGGGUCUCUUUUGUGGAAGAAGGCAAUGUGAAAGACAUACUUCUGAACCGUCUUGUUGAGACUGUGUCACCCUGAUAAACCACCGAUCCAGAGACAUGUUACUGCAGCCUGGUGGCUCAGGUGUUUGUAUGAAGAAUGGAUGCAGGUGUCUGAUGGCAUCAGGCCCUUAAGACUGGGCUGGGAGGAACGGUGGGUCAGCUGCACCUGAGCUUGCCUGCUUAGGAGAGGUGCUUCCCACUUCAGUUAUAGCUGGGUGGUUGAGUGGAGGUUGUGCUGCAAACACUAAAAUGCCUGAGUUUUGGUGAGCACAGCCUUUGGUGUAAAGCUACUGCUGAAUAAUCUAAAGACAGAGCAGAUGUUUCAGAGAGAGAGCAGCAUUCCUUCCACUGGUAGAUGUCCAUGUGAUCCAAAAGCAGAGGUUGAGCUAUUAGGUGCAUUUAAGGUAUUGCAUCUAUCUCAUCAUCCCUCUUGCAUCUGUCCCACCAAGGACAUGUGGCUCUGCAGUCCCUUGGCCUCCUCCUUUUGCCCUAGAGUGGGCUUGGGUGGCAAGAAAGCUGUGUGGCACCUCCAAUUCAUGCCCAUGGGGAUGGAAAGCUGCCAUUCAAUCGUCAUUUGGAGGGAUGCAUCCAACCAGCUGAAUGUACAGUUGGGAUAGCUUAAUGGACAUAGGAUCCUGCACUAAUCUGCCUGGUAUCACUGCCUCCUGCACAAUGCUUUCACAAUGCGGACACAGAGCAGCUCCUGUGGUGGGCACAGGAGCCAACCAUGCAAGAAAUGAAAAGCAAAGACUGUACAGUAUGUUACUGUUACUGAAUGCAAAUGCAGCACGGAUGUUAGCAACACAAAACUAAAUCAGUCUGGCAAGAGGAAAGCCAGCCCUGGACUUGCAUCAGCGGCGCUGAUCUGUGGGUUCCAAGUGUGGCAUCACUGCAGAGCAGGUUGGACGAGGCUCCCUGACCUCCUCUACUUGGCAGGCUUUCUUUUGCAUUUUUGGCUGAGAGACAAACUAAACUGCCCUCCCCAGGCCCUCCAACUGGUCCCAGUACAUCCCGGUGCAGGUGUGCUGGCGGGCAAGGUGAGGAGAGAUUUAAUCACUCCAGCAUAUGGGCAGUGCAGCCCUUCUUGAAGAGCUCCUUAUACCCACCCUGGGGCAUCUGAGUUCCUGAAGCGGGCACAGCCUUUACAGAGUUGGCAAUGGGAUUUGCAGCUUCGCAUCAUCUUAAGGCAGAUUUGAGUGUUAUGCCCAGAUGAAAGAAACCAGCUGGCUGCAACAAAAGCACUGGGCACUCUUCUGAUGGAGGCACUGCAAAGCAAAUCCCAGCUUGCUGCGAGGAAUGGAUACAAUGAGAGUUGUGUGGAAUGGAGGAGAUGCCACUGUGGCUCCUGCUAAAGUGAUAAUGGUGAAAGAAUUGAGCAGGCUCUCUGGUGUCUGCUACUAUCCAUACAUCUCAACCACAGCUUUGAGUAGAACGGAUGAGUAGUAUGAUUGUGACUGGCCUUACAAUAUGUGGGCUAGGAAGAAUUAACUUUGGAGGGGGAACUUAACUCUCCAGAGGCAAUGGAGAAUCUGCUUUAAAUAUCAAGGAGCCUACAAACAUGAACACGUAAGAGCCAAAACAGGAACUGAUGCUCUUUUUCCAGUACAGCUGGCCAUCAAGAUGCCCAUCAUCUGCUCAUUGACUCUCAGCAUCCCAGACACCUCAGAGCUGUUUGUGAGUGUCCACAGAUGUCCGAUUGAUUUAUGGCUGAACGACUGAACAUGCAGCACUACGAGGGCUGGCUUUGCCCUGCUCUUGGCACUGACCAGCACAGCUAUGCCCAGCUCCAGUGAGUCAGCUCAGUGAGCGCUGAGCUCCCGCUGCUCGCCGGGACCACGGGACUCAAAGGCCACCAGCCCGGUUUCGGUGCCCUGGUUUUCUUUGCUCGCCCGGCGGUUCCGCCCCGCGCCCCACCCCGCAGCGGCGUUAAUGAUGGGGUAGGGAUUGCUCUGGGCAGGCAGGAGGUGUGGGUCACUCUGUCGGGGCAGUGAGCUGCGGUCAGUGGGACGCCGUGACACACUGCCCCGAGCUGCAGCCAUCGGGGCUGGGCUGUGCUGCUGGGAGUCCAGGGAUGGCCGGGGGAAGGUGCCCUCAGAGAGCUAGGCAGCAGGUGAUUGGGAUCAGUUUCCCAGUGAUAAGAUUGUUUUCUUCUCCCAAACUCUGGGCCUGGCUCUCUGCAGUUGGGUGCAGCGCUGCCCAGCUCUGUGGCCAGCCCCAGCCCUUCCCCGGCCCAGGGAUCACUGCCAAAGCCCAGCACAGGGCAACCACUGAGCUCCUCUUUCCCUUUUGAAAGCUUAUAUAAAAAUGAUGAUAAGCUAAAUCUAGAUCUAUGCAGCAAUUAUGUGGGAUGCCAGACCUUGCACCUGUAGCAUAAUACAUAACAGAGCCAGCUAACUGCCUUGUCUAAUGAUUGCUCUGAACAGCAUACAAAUCACAUUAUGGGGGGUGAGCUGAGAGCCAUUUUUCAGCUGAAGCUGAUGAGCUUGCAGAGACUUUCUUUGCUCCGUUCUCCCAGACUGCAGGUUUGUCCUCUUCUCCCUGGAAUCCUUCCUGUUAUUUUUCUACCUUCCUGUCACAGGAUGCAACGUUCAUUACAAUAAUAGAUCAAACUUUGAGUGGAAAAACUCUGCUUUACGGUUGUCUUUAGGAUUUCCCAGUUUCAUUUCCUGCAACCCAUAAUGAGCAGGUGGAGUGUUUUCACAGGAUGCUUGGGUGGGCAAGAGAUGCCUAUGAACGUUAUCCCACCCUAACCUCUCAGCUGUCACCUUGAGGUGGGAUAGGCCAUCUCCUGAGGAACCUUAAGCUAGGAGCUUGGAUAACUGGAGAAGACCGGCUCCUGAAUACCAGUCAGGCAAUGGCAGAAGAUGACUCCCGCUUUCAUGAUGGAGAAGACAACUCCCACUCUCUCUGGGAACUUAAAAUGUCCGUCUUGAUUUCUUAACCUGGAAUGUGCUUUGGAAACCCUGUCUGGAGAGUCUGCUUUGUCUCUCUGCACCUAAAUACUUUUGAAGCGUGGUCAGAGAUGUUCCCAACGUGUGCUCUGGUUUCUCUGGUGAGAGACACAGGAGGAAGUUUUGAGGUGGAAGAGCAGCAUUGGUGUCAAUUUGUUUGGAAGGAUUUUUGUGGACUGGACUUCUGUGGGUUUGCCUGCUUCCUGUUACUCUUAUGUUAUCAGCAUGAAAAUAUUAAAUUAUGUGACCAAUAUAGCCAGUAAGACUGGCCACAGCUAUUAUA